AAACCAUAUGUUGUAGUUGAUUUUAGUGAUUAUUCCUUCUCGAGUAAAGUAAGAUAAAAUAGAAAUGUACAUUUUUGCAGCACAUUCCACCACAUAGAACUUAUCCGAAAAAAGAGUAAGCCUGUGGACACAAUGCUGUGCUAGCUUCAGAUGCCACAGGACAUGUGGUGAUGACAAUAGUUGGAGAAAUGCCUGUCAGGAAAGCAUGAUAUAACAUAGCAUUCCUAAGUUUUCAGAGAGUCAUUGGCUUGUGUACUUUUAUACAGAAUGUUAUGGAAGUCACCAAUUGCUAUUUACUAAAAAAUGCCUAAGAAUAUUCACC
This is a non-coding RNA of Pelobates cultripes (western spadefoot toad), 322 nucleotides long. NCBI's taxonomy places the organism in Eukaryota, Metazoa, Chordata, Amphibia, Anura, Pelobatidae. The record is from the annotation of a GenBank genome assembly.